GACGAACGCUGGCGACGUGCUUAACACAUGCAAGUCGAACGGAAAGGCCCCUUUGGGGGUACUCGAGUGGCGCACGGGUGAGUAACACGUGAGUAACCUGCCCUUGACUUCGGGAUAACUUCAGGAAACUGGGGCUAAUACCGGAUAGGAAUCCUUGCUGCAUGGUGGGGGUUGGAAAGCUUCGGCGGUUUUGGAUGGACUCGCGGCUUAUCAGCUUGUUGGUGGGGUAGUGGCUUACCAAGGCUUUGACGGGUAGCCGGCCUGAGAGGGCGACCGGCCACAUUGGGACUGAGAUACGGCCCAGACUCCUACGGGAGGCAGCAGUGGGGAAUAUUGCACAAUGGGCGGAAGCCUGAUGCAGCAACGCCGCGUGCGGGAUGACGGCCUUCGGGUUGUAAACCGCUUUCAGCAGGGGCGAAGCUUGUGGUGACGGUACCUGCAGAAGAAGCACCGGCUAACUACGUG
Molecule: ribosomal RNA, 465 nt
Filed under: uncultured bacterium
Lineage: Bacteria
Description: partial 16S ribosomal RNA
Rfam family: Bacterial small subunit ribosomal RNA
Source: RNAcentral